This 200-nucleotide ribosomal RNA is filed under the name uncultured eukaryote. RNAcentral's name for it is "partial 18S ribosomal RNA". It matches the Rfam family "Eukaryotic small subunit ribosomal RNA", at positions 588 to 796 of the family's 1831-position model. The record is from RNAcentral.
GCUCCAAUAGCGUAUAUUUAAGUUGCUGCAGUUAAAAAGCUCGUAGUUGGAUUUCGGGUGGGUGGCGGCGGUCCGCCUCUGGUGAGUACUGCCGGCGCCACCUUACUGUCGGGGACGCGCUCCUGGGCUUCGCUGUCCGGGACGCGGAGUCGACGCGGUUACUUUGAGUAAAUUAGAGUGUUCAAAGCAGGCCUACGCUC